UUCGUUCAGGACCUCUCCUAGGCUAAUUUCGACGUCCUGGACCCGUUUUUGAAGUCCGUUUUCCCAAAUUCAAUCGUUUGAAUAGAGUUUGACCAAAGGUACUCCUUUAUGUGAAUAGGUGCAAUUAUUAACGGUGAUUCCGUGAUACCUUUUUAGUAUAGCUUUGCACCAUCGGUGUACGGACCUACGAACGAGGAUUACGAUAUAAGCUACGAGGCAUUUCCCUACCAGUGAUCCAGUGUUAUAUUUCUUCUGCUUCGAUAUCUAUUGUAAUAUAGCACAUCUCUAUCUUAAAUUCUGUUUGUAUUCUGUAAUAGACGUAUGCUCUGACAUUAUGCAUUGAUCCAAAUGGUAUUAAUUAGAAGUUGAAUUUGUAGUA
This is a non-coding RNA of Malus domestica (apple), 379 nucleotides long. The record is from RefSeq and is a predicted model, not a curated record. Lineage: Eukaryota; Viridiplantae; Streptophyta; Magnoliopsida; Rosales; Rosaceae.